UAUAAAUAACAACAAAAGAUAACGAUCUUAAACAGGUUAAAAUGAGGAUGCCGAUGAAACGUUCACUUUCAUUACAUUUUUUGUGUAUAAAAUUGAUUAUGAUCGUUGCCAUCAUCACUUCUGUGAUGACAAAAAGCAGUAGUAUUGACGAACACUCAAUUGCCUCUCAAAAAUGUACCACACAAAAUUGGAGAAGUAACAAAUUCAAGGGGAAUUGCCGUUCAAAUUCAGAUGAAAUAAAAUGUAGUGAUACCUGUAAAGGUGAAGGUGCAAAUAAAGGAUAUUGUGUGGUUGGCGGAUGGUGUAAUUGUUUCUGCAGGACUGGUUAACUGAUGGAUAUGAUCAUCAAAAUACUAUUUUACUUAUGAUUUGAAUAAGUUGUUAACAUAUUAACGGGUUAAACAAUAUUAGAUAUUUUAAAAUACAAGUUUUACAUGUGGUAUAAUAUGAGAUUAUAUUCUUAUCUA
Molecule: long non-coding RNA, 467 nt
Organism: Helianthus annuus (common sunflower)
Lineage: Eukaryota; Viridiplantae; Streptophyta; Magnoliopsida; Asterales; Asteraceae
Exons: 2
Source: RefSeq, a predicted model, not a curated record